This 353-nucleotide long non-coding RNA is filed under the name Ananas comosus (pineapple). Its description in RNAcentral is "long non-coding RNA (ACOM_LNC035204)". Lineage: Eukaryota; Viridiplantae; Streptophyta; Magnoliopsida; Poales; Bromeliaceae. The record is from RNAcentral.
GUUCUCUUCCUCUUUAUCGAUUAGUUGCAAAAUUGUUCAUAUUCAAAAACUAUAUAUAUAUAUAGAGUCUGGCUUGGAUACUUUGGAUAGCAUCAAGGAUUUGGUGCUAUCGACUUUUUUACCGUUAAAUUUAACCCAUUGAUUAUUUUUACCUAUUAGAUUAUACUAUUCAACCAACCAACCACCCACUCAAUCCUAAGGAGUCCACAUUAUCCUAAUCGCACAUUUUUCAAUCCAAAGGCUAAAAAAUUAAUAACACCUAUAGUUUGAUACUAUUGAUAGUAUUUCAGCCUAGUUCUACAUAUAUAUAUAUAUAUAUAUAUAUAUAUAUAUAAAAUCCAACUGCUAUUCUU